Molecule: long non-coding RNA, 381 nt
Filed under: Anas platyrhynchos platyrhynchos (common mallard)
Lineage: Eukaryota; Metazoa; Chordata; Aves; Anseriformes; Anatidae
Description: lncRNA (ENSAPLG00000023019.1)
Source: RNAcentral
CACAGUUCCUCACCUGAAGAAAAUGGGCAAGACAGGCUUUAUUUGAAAUGCAGGAAACUACAAAAGCCCAGUAGUGGGAUUGGAAGCAAAUCCUGGGCAGCUGGUUUUAGGACUUGGAAGAUGAGUAAGUCACAGGGCAGAAGACCACCAAGGCACUGCAGAAAUUUCAGGACCCAAAACUAUCAAUUACAGAAGGGAAAAGGUCAAGAGCUGGACCAAAAGUUGCCUAUUACUGACUGAAUACAGAGGAUGAAUGGUUUUAUUCUGAGAUCCUGAAAGCUGAAGGAUUUGGUGAACUUUUCAGGAUAGAAAAAAAAAAUCCUUUAUUCAUGCAGCUGUAGCAAGGCAAGGGACAGCUGGGUAGCUGAUGGGAGGAAACAU